Molecule: long non-coding RNA, 460 nt
Organism: Vigna unguiculata (cowpea)
Lineage: Eukaryota; Viridiplantae; Streptophyta; Magnoliopsida; Fabales; Fabaceae
Source: RefSeq, a predicted model, not a curated record
UAGGUCUAGGGCUGGCUCAAAGGGAAGCAAAGACCCUAAUCUGUCUAACACCCUCAUUCCAUUCACUUUCAGAAAAACAGUUUUCCUUAUUCUUUUCUAGAACUGCUGUCGUUUCUUUGCUAGGGUUUGGUACCACUUUAGUCAAGCAAGCUCAACCUCAUUUUGUCCUACUCCAUCUUACAAGUCCAUUCGUAAAGCUGCCGUGCUCCAUUGUUUAAAGUCGAGGCAUUUUCUAGCUAUUUCUAGAUGCGAGAAACCCUCGUGCUCAACAGGAGAAUGGUGGCUUCGCUGCGUAGCCUGCCCGGGGUGGAUUUCGCUUAUUGGGCUUUUCUUUUUGGGCGAUGGCCCAUGUAUUGGCUUGUCUUUUAAAUCUCAUUUUGAUUACCGUUGAACUUUGUAUCUUGUCUUGUUUUGACAUCGUAGUAUGUCUUGAAUAUUGUAAGGAGUGGUGCUUAUACUC